AUUGAACGCUGGCGGCAUGCCUUACACAUGCAAGUCGAACGGCAGCACGGGAGCAAUCCUGGUGGCGAGUGGCGAACGGGCGAGUAAUAUAUCGGAACGUGCCCAGUCGUGGGGGAUAACGCAGCGGAAGCUGUGCUAAUACCGCAUACGAUCUACGGAUGAAAGCGGGGGAUCGCAAGACCUCGCGCGAUUGGAGCGGCCGAUAUCAGAUUAGCUAGUUGGUGGGGUAAGGGCCUACCAAGGCGACGAUCUGUAGCUGGUCUGAGAGGACGACCAGCCACACUGGAACUGGGACACGGUCCAGACUCCUACGGGAGGCAGCAGUGGGGAAUUUUGGACAAUGGGCGCAAGCCUGAUCCAGCAAUGCCGCGUGCAGGAUGAAGGCCUUCGGGUUGUAAACUGCUUUUGUACGGAACGAAACGGUGAGCUCUAAUACAGUUUGCUAAUGACGGUACCGUAAGAAUAAGCACCGGCUAACUACGUGCCAGCAGCCGCGGUAA
RNAcentral lists this ribosomal RNA (500 nucleotides) under uncultured bacterium. Its description in RNAcentral is "partial 16S ribosomal RNA". It matches the Rfam family "Bacterial small subunit ribosomal RNA", at positions 30 to 523 of the family's 1533-position model. The record is from RNAcentral.